Molecule: ribosomal RNA, 1084 nt
Filed under: uncultured bacterium
Lineage: Bacteria
Description: bacterial SSU rRNA
Rfam family: Bacterial small subunit ribosomal RNA
Source: RNAcentral
CCCGUGUCAGAUGAACGCCUAGCGGUCAGACUUAACACAUGUCAAGUCGAGGGCAGCGCGAGGUAGCAAUACUUCUGCGCGACCGGCGAAAGGGUGAGUAACGCGUGAGCAACAUGCCCGGAUGAGGGGGAUAAACGAUGGAAACGUCGUCUAAUACCCCGUAACAGCGGAGAUCGCAUGAUCUUUGGUUGAAAGAUUCAUCGCAUCCGGAUUGGCUCGCGUGACAUUAGCUAGUCGGCGGGGUAACGGCCCACCGAGGCGACGAUGUCUAGGGGUUCUGAGAGGAAGGUCCCCCACACUGGAACUGAGACACGGUCCAGACUCCUACGGGAGGCAGCAGUGAGGAAUAUUGGACAAUGGGCGAAAGCCUGGACCAGCCAUGCCGCGUGAGGGAUAAGGCCCUAUGGGUCGUAAACUGCUUUUGUUGGGAGCAAUAAGGGGCACGUGUGGCUCGAUGAGAGUACCCAUCGAAUAAGCAUCGGCUAACUCCGUGCCAGCAGCCGCGGUAAUACGGAGGAUGCAAGCGUUAUCCGGAUUUAUUGGGUUUAAAGGGUGCGUAGGCGGAUGAGUAAGCGUGGGGUGAAAUGCCGGUGCUCAACCUCGGAACUGCCUCUGAAACUGGUUGUCUGGAAUGCCCAUGCCGUGGGAGGAAUGUGUGGUGUAGCGGUGAAAUGCAUAGAUAUCGCCCAGAACACCGAUUGCGAAGGCAUCUCACGAAUCCGAGACUGACGCUGAGGCACGAAAGCGUGGGGAUCAAACAGGAUUAGAUACCCUGGUAGUCCACGCAGUAAACGAUGAUGACUAACCGUUGGCGAUACACAGUCAGUGGCCAAGCGAAAGCGAUAAGUUAUCCACCUGGGGAGUACGACCGCAAGAAUGAAACUCAAAGGAAUUGACGGGGGCCCGCACAAGCGGAGGAACAUGUGGUUUAAUUCGAUGAUACGCGAGGAACCUUACCCGGGCUCGAACGGCUCGUGAAGAAACACAGAGAUUGUGGACGGCCUUUCGGGGACUGCAGCGAAGGGGCUGCAUUGGUUGUCGUCCAGCCUCGGGCCGUUGAAGGGUCGGCUUCAAGUGCCAUAAC